UCAAAAACAUCGCCUCUUGCAAAAUUAAUGAAUAAGAGGUCCCGCCUGCCCUGUGACUAUACGUUUAACGGCCGCGGUAUCUUGACCGUGCGAAGGUAGCGCAAUCACUUGUCUUUUAAAUAGGGACCUGUAUGAAUGGCAUAACGAGGGCUUGACUGUCUCCUUUUUCAAGUCAAUGAAAUUGAUCUCCCCGUGCAGAAGCGGGGAUAAGCACAUAAGACGAGAAGACCCUGUGGAGCUUUAGACACCAAGGCAAACCACGUUAAGCACCCCUGAUACAGGAUUAAACUAAGUGAGCCCUGCCCUAAUGUCUUCGGUUGGGGCGACCAUGGGGUAAAAUAAACCCCCCACGCGGAAAGGGAGGACCACCCUCCCAAAGCCAAGAGUUCCCACUCUAAUAAACAGAACUUCUGACCUAAAGAUCCGGCAAAGCCGAUCAACGGACCAAGUUACCCCAGGGAUAACAGCGCAAUCCUCUUUUAGAGCCCAUAUCGACAAGGGGGUUUACGACCUCGAUGUUGGAUCAGGACAUCCUAAUGGUGCAGCCGCUAUUAAGGGUUCGUUUGUUCAACGAUUAAAGUCCUACGUGAUCUG
RNAcentral lists this ribosomal RNA (594 nucleotides) under Orthopristis chrysoptera (pigfish). RNAcentral describes it as "partial 16S ribosomal RNA". It matches the Rfam family "Bacterial large subunit ribosomal RNA", at positions 1807 to 2607 of the family's 2925-position model. Lineage: Eukaryota; Metazoa; Chordata; Actinopteri; Lutjaniformes; Haemulidae. The record is from RNAcentral.